This is a long non-coding RNA of Centrocercus urophasianus (Greater sage-grouse), 2167 nucleotides long. RefSeq lists it as uncharacterized. The transcript has 4 exons. Lineage: Eukaryota; Metazoa; Chordata; Aves; Galliformes; Phasianidae. The record is from RefSeq and is a predicted model, not a curated record.
CCCUUUCUCUCCCCCUUCCCUUUCUUUCUGCUUUCACUUAAAGUCAGAACUCACAGGAAAUCAAUUGCAUAUAACUUAGCACAAAAAUAUGCCCAUUUAUAUUUGAGGAAUAAAAUUCUUGUACCUGCCAGCAAUAUAAUUCUAAGUUGAACAUCAGCAAUAGAGCAGUAAGAUUAUGUUGCUGGAAUAAUUUCCCGGGUCCUGCACUUCAUAGCUGAGCUGAAAGAGAACAUGAGCUUACUCUGCCAUCUUUUGAAACUAUUCUUCUGAGAGCCACAUGAUGAACUUGAGCUAACAAGGAAGAAUUAAGAAGUCUAAACCAGUUGAACUUUAGUUGAUAAUAACUUACUCACAUCUUGAUGGAAAAUAUUGGUUAGAGCUACUCACAUGCUGUGGAACUACAGAAGAUAGUUAUUUUUUGCGAAGUGACUUUAUGAAAUGGGAAGUGGGAGUGGCUUUACUCUGAUGAAGCAGGGAAACUUCACCCAGAGAAGUAGAUACUGAGGUGGCCAUUAUGAACAUGGGGGACCAGAGUGGCCAGACUGGGUUGCAUCAGUAGUCAAAAGUCUUAAAUUGGGCAAUUGAUCAGAAACAUGCUGGAACAUUUGUGUGUUGUAACCUUGAUAGACUUACAAUUUCAUUGUCUUUCUUUUCUCGAGACCAAGAUUGAAGAUCAGCACAAGAACUGUUUGUUUUUGGAGACAGGAGAGCUGCAGCACUAUGGCAAAACUGAAGACUGGAGAAGAGCAAAUGAAGAAUGAAAGGAAUAGGAGGAGUGUCGAAAAAACUUUGUAAGCUGGAUAAAGAGGAGGAGUAGAAGAAAGACAAAAAGAAAACUUCACAGGGUCAGAGAGAAUCUGAUAAACUUCGACAAAAGCUUCAACACACUCGGAAGGUGUUUUCUAAACCUUCUAGCCUUGUGGCAUUUUCCCAUCUAUAGUCCAGAGGUGAAAUGAUUUAUGAAUACACAUGCUUACACAGUUCUCUGUGAGCAUUUUGAUAAGGUAAAUAUAUCACUCAGCAGGAAGCUUCACUGCAUGCUAGUCUUCUUCCUCAGAGAGAAAUUCUGUGUUGUGGGCCCUAGCUAGCCCUUUCUGACAUACAUAGGGCAUGAAGUUUUGUUCUUCAUUAAAAAAAGUCCCAUCGAGAUGUUUAAACACAGAUCUCCCUGUAAGGGUGAACACCCUGAAUUGCCCUCCAUCCAGUUCUUCUCCAUUUAAUUGGUAUAAAGCAGUUUCCCCUUGGCUACUUCUUCCCUUGAAAUUACACAAGUAGCCUCACUAGAAAGGCAUAGGUAAAUAUUUUAUACUGUGCACCAUGUGGAUUAGGAGCACAGCUCCCAUUAACCAGAGCUGGAAUCAUGCAGCUGAUUUCCCCCUCACACUGUGCUUGAAGCAUACCCUACAGGAUGCGGAGGCUGAGCUCCCAAGUGCCACCUUAUGAAGAAGGUGUGGAGUACUUUCAUUUAAUACUGCAUGUGUUUCCAUUAGCAGAGUCAAUUGCUCUCCAUCCUCAGUUUUAAGACUCCCUGUUUCUCUCUAUUACAGCUUUAUUUCCAAACGCCAUCCAAUCCUCCCUAGUCCUUCCAUCUGAGCCUGUAAGGUUUUGACCAUAUAACACCACAACAUCUUGGCUUUCGUUUGGUUUAAACUUUUUGUUCACAAUUAUAGAUGUGCUGAACACUGAGCACUUCUAUUUCUCAUGAGCUUACUGCUCCUUAACAAAGCUCAUGGACCUAGAGUAUUGGCAAUUUGGGGUGGCAGCUUAGGGGGUGUCAGUGGAGCAGAGGCCAGCAUAUCCUGAAACCUGCAAAGCACAUGGGGAAAAAAUGUGGCUGCUACUUUGAUUGAGAGCAACUGUUCACACAGGCGUGGUUCCUACAGAGUAGAAAAUUUAUGUAUCUGUGUAAAUUCUAAGCUAAAACUAGAAUAUGUUCAUCCCAUAUGUAAAAAUAAAGUUGUGGUUAAUAUGCCAUGCGCUGUGGUCAAUUACUACUCUGUGAAGUGGUGGCUUAGCUACCUGUGCAGUGCAAUAUAGCAAUUGCCAGACACUGGCUUUCCUCACUUCCAUUUUUACUGCAUAGCUAUCUAGGAAAUUUACAAAAUAAAAUUCUAUCUAGUAUGCGCAAGUGGGGUUAUGUCACGGCAGGUCGUCAUAACAAAAUUGA